GGAGACUUUUCUAGUCACCAGGAUCUGCAUUCAUUUUUACUGUGUCAUUUACUUUGCCUUCAUGUCAUCCACAGGAAGUUUUCCCAUGCUGCACGCACAUCAAGUUCCAGUUCAGACCAUCAGAAGAGGAGGCCAGUGAUCCAAAUGCCAGCCAAAACAGCACACAGAAAUGCAUUGUUUCCAAGGCAUCCAAUCCCAGGUUUUGAUUACAGAGGGACCCUGGCAAAACACAACUGCUUUCCUUAAAAGGGCCUGAGUGCACAACUUUGACUUUUACAUUCCCCGAGAUCUCCUUGGCUCUUAUUCUGGGAUUCCUUUGG
RNAcentral lists this long non-coding RNA (320 nucleotides) under Gopherus agassizii (Agassiz's desert tortoise). RNAcentral describes it as "lncRNA (ENSGAGG00000017561.1)". The record is from RNAcentral. Lineage: Eukaryota; Metazoa; Chordata; Testudines; Testudinidae.